AUCUAACUGACGAGUCCCAAACAAGACGAAAUGAGCACCUUGGAU
Molecule: non-coding RNA, 45 nt
Filed under: Trichobilharzia regenti
Lineage: Eukaryota; Metazoa; Platyhelminthes; Trematoda; Strigeidida; Schistosomatidae
Source: RNAcentral